UACGGAGGGUGCAAGCGUUAUCCGGAUUCACUGGGUUUAAAGGGUGCGUAGGCGGCUCGCCAAGUGCUUUGUGAAAUCCCACAGCUCAACUGUGGAACAGCAGGGCAAACUGGCGGGCUUGAGGCAGGUAGGGGCCGGAAGAACAGUUGGUGGAGCGGUGAAAUGCGUAGAUAUCAACUGGAAUGCCGAUGGGGAAGCCGUCCGGCUGGGCCUGUCCUGACGCUGAGGCACGAAAGCGUGGGGAGCAAACAGG
RNAcentral lists this ribosomal RNA (253 nucleotides) under uncultured bacterium. Its description in RNAcentral is "partial 16S ribosomal RNA". It matches the Rfam family "Bacterial small subunit ribosomal RNA", at positions 524 to 776 of the family's 1533-position model. The record is from RNAcentral.